CUACAUAAUUUAUAAAAUUAAAAAAUAUAUUAAAAAUGAGCAAUACCAACGGAAAUCCUCCACGCAAAAAUUAUACUGAGAGAGAGAAAUGUUUGCUGUUGGAAAUAAUUGGAAAAUACAAGCAUAUUAUAAUUGAAAACAAAUAAUGUACCAAUGCUAUGUCCAACAAACCAAAACAAUGAAACCUUGGAAAAAAUAGCGUUGAAUUUCCCAGAACUCCCAAGCAGCUGAACACUGCAUAUAUAAACUUAAAAAGGGUCACUCACCAAAAAGUAGCAGAGGAAAAUAUUCAAAAAUAUAAUGAGCAGAAGGUUUUGGACCAGUUGAAGAGAGACCAAACUGCGGACAAA
Long non-coding RNA from Diabrotica virgifera virgifera (western corn rootworm), 350 nucleotides. RefSeq lists it as uncharacterized. The record is from RefSeq and is a predicted model, not a curated record. The transcript has 3 exons. NCBI's taxonomy places the organism in Eukaryota, Metazoa, Arthropoda, Insecta, Coleoptera, Chrysomelidae.